Molecule: long non-coding RNA, 813 nt
Filed under: Setaria viridis
Lineage: Eukaryota; Viridiplantae; Streptophyta; Magnoliopsida; Poales; Poaceae
Description: long non-coding RNA (SVIR_LNC000447)
Source: RNAcentral
GUAUAAUAAAAAGGAAAACGUGCUCCUCCCGUGGGUCGAACCUAUUACUGAUCGAAUGGGAAGUCUUUACCGCAACCGGGUCCCACAUGUAAGUUUCAGGUGAGUUGGUGGUAGAAGUUUUGGUAUGUUAUGUUAGUCUGAGAUGAAAAAAUGGUAGAAAAAUAAACAGGAAAGAGUAUCCAUAGCAAAGCUCGAACCUGUGACCUCUUAGAAGUGCUGAGAUAGCACUACCACUGAGACAUGAGCUAUGUAUGUUUUUAAAAAGGAUACAUUUUCUAUACUUUCUUCUAAUAAGUGUGGUCCCCAUGCCAGUUGCAGGCCCAAGCAUCGGCUAUAUACUUCUCAUUUCUCGACACGGCGUACAGUACUGCAAGAGACUCGCUGGCACCACGCUUCUGUUGGCUGUGGCAAAGACUAAAGCUAGCGUCGGUGUGCAGAUCAGUAACGGCCCACGACGGGAAUGGCGCAUGCUAGAGGCAACAGGGGGAGGAGGAGGUACAGUGAGGUUAGUCCCCUGGUUUGUUCCGCUACUUUCCCCUAUGAUCCUAUGGAAGGGAAUUUCUGAAUUUGGGGAUCUAUGUUGAAGAUACUAGAUUCCGAUUUCUGGGUCGAUGGACUAUAAUUUAUGAAGUGCAAAGCUAAACACUGAUUUCAAGUUACGAUGACUUUGAUGAUGCAGUUAGUCUAUCAUUUGAUAGGUUCUUGCAUUUUAUUAGCUUCCAUAAGGGCUUGGAGUCACUAAUAGCACCAGAUCACCGUCGCCUAAUGUUAUCGUAGUGGAUCCUGAAAACAAGUGCGAGCACAUGUUUGCUC